Molecule: ribosomal RNA, 495 nt
Filed under: uncultured bacterium
Lineage: Bacteria
Description: partial 16S ribosomal RNA
Rfam family: Bacterial small subunit ribosomal RNA
Source: RNAcentral
GACGAACGCUGGCGGCGUGCCUAAUACAUGCGAGUAGAACGCUGAAGGAGGAGCUUGCUUCUCUGGAUGAGUUGCGAACGGGUGAGUAACGCGUAGGUAACCUGCCUGGUAGCGGGGGAUAACUAUUGGAAACGAUAGCUAAUACCGCAUAAGAGUAGAUGUCGCAUGACAUUUGCUUAAAAGGUGCAAUUGCAUCACUACCAGAUGGACCUGCGUUGUAUUAGCUAGUUGGUGAGGUAACGGCUCACCAAGGCAACGAUACAUAGCCGACCUGAGAGGGGGAUCGGCCCCCCUGGGACUGAGACACGGCCCAGACUCCUACGGGAGGCAGCAGUAGGGAAUCUUCGGCAAUGGACGGAAGUCUGACCGAGCAACGCCGCGUGAGUGAAGAAGGUUUUCGGAUCGUAAAGCUCUGUUGUAAGAGAAGAACGAGUGUGAGAGUGGAAAGUUCACACUGUGACGGUAUCUUACCAGAAAGGGACGGCUAACUACGUG